Molecule: transfer RNA, 74 nt
Filed under: Candidatus Woesearchaeota archaeon
Lineage: Archaea; Nanobdellati; Candidatus Woesearchaeota
Also listed under: 1 other name
Description: tRNA-Phe
Rfam family: tRNA
About the family: Transfer RNA (tRNA) molecules are approximately 80 nucleotides in length. Their secondary structure includes four short double-helical elements and three loops (D, anti-codon, and T loops).
Source: RNAcentral
GGGAAGAUAGCUCAGCCUGGGAGAGCACACCGCUGAAGACGGUGGUGUCGGGGGUUCAAAUCCCUCUCUUCCCA